AAAAAGGUAAGCUAAAAUUUAAGCUCCUGGGUUCAUACCCCAUAUAUAAAGGUAUAAAUCCUUUUCUUUUUA
This 72-nucleotide transfer RNA is filed under the name Aesalus sp. JL-2019. RNAcentral's name for it is "tRNA-Met". It matches the Rfam family "tRNA". From Rfam's summary of the family: Transfer RNA (tRNA) molecules are approximately 80 nucleotides in length. Their secondary structure includes four short double-helical elements and three loops (D, anti-codon, and T loops). Lineage: Eukaryota; Metazoa; Arthropoda; Insecta; Coleoptera; Lucanidae. The record is from RNAcentral.